This 497-nucleotide ribosomal RNA is filed under the name uncultured bacterium. RNAcentral's name for it is "partial 16S ribosomal RNA". It matches the Rfam family "Bacterial small subunit ribosomal RNA", at positions 28 to 507 of the family's 1533-position model. The record is from RNAcentral.
GAUGAACGCUGGCGGCGUGCCUAAUACAUGCAAGUCGAGCGAACGGACGAGAAGCUUGCUUCUCUGAUGUUAGCGGCGGACGGGUGAGUAACACGUGGAUAACCUACCUAUAAGACUGGGAUAACUUCGGGAAACCGGAGCUAAUACCGGAUAAUAUUUUGAACCGCAUGGUUCAAAAGUGAAAGACGGUCUUGCUGUCACUUAUAGAUGGAUCCGCGCUGCAUUAGCUAGUUGGUAAGGUAACGGCUUACCAAGGCAACGAUGCAUAGCCGACCUGAGAGGUUGAUCGGCCACACUGGAACUGAGACACGGUCCAGACUCCUACGGGAGGCAGCAGUAGGGAAUCUUCCGCAAUGGGCGAAAGCCUGACGGAGCAACGCCGCGUGAGUGAUGAAGGUCUUCGGAUCGUAAAACUCUGUUAUUAGGGAAGAACAUAUGUGUAAGUAACUGUGCACAUCUUGACGGUACCUAAUCAGAAAGCCACGGCUAACUACGUG